This 915-nucleotide ribosomal RNA is filed under the name uncultured Gammaproteobacteria bacterium. Its description in RNAcentral is "bacterial SSU rRNA". It matches the Rfam family "Bacterial small subunit ribosomal RNA", at positions 9 to 916 of the family's 1533-position model. The record is from RNAcentral. Lineage: Bacteria; Pseudomonadati; Pseudomonadota; Gammaproteobacteria.
GAGUUUGAUCCUGGCUCAGAUUGAACGCUGGCGGCAUGCCUAACACAUGCAAGUCGAACGGUAACGACGGGAGCUUGCUCCCUGGCGACGAGUGGCGGACGGGUGAGUAAUACUUAGGAAUCUGCCCAGUAGUGGGGGACAACUCGAGGAAACUCGAGCUAAUACCGCAUACGCCCUACGGGGGAAAGCGGGGGAUCUUCGGACCUCGCGCUAUUGGAUGAGCCUAAGUCGGAUUAGCUUGUUGGUGGGGUAAAGGCCUACCAAGGCGACGAUCCGUAGCUGGUCUGAGAGGACGAUCAGCCACACUGGGACUGAGACACGGCCCAGACUCCUACGGGAGGCAGCAGUGGGGAAUAUUGGACAAUGGGGGCAACCCUGAUCCAGCAAUGCCGCGUGUGUGAAGAAGGCCUGCGGGUUGUAAAGCACUUUCAGUAGAGAAGAAAAGCUCGAGGUUAAUACCUCUGAGUCUUGACGUAACCUACAGAAGAAGCACCGGCUAACUCCGUGCCAGCAGCCGCGGUAAUACGGAGGGUGCGAGCGUUAUUCGGAAUUACUGGGCGUAAAGCGCGCGUAGGCGGCCUGAUCAGUCGGAUGUGAAAGCCCUGGGCUUAACCUGGGAAUUGCAUUCGAUACUGUCAGGCUAGAGUAUGGGAGAGGGAAGUGGAAUUUCCGGUGUAGCGGUGAAAUGCGUAGAUAUCGGAAGGAACACCAGUGGCGAAGGCGACUUCCUGGCCCAAUACUGACGCUCAGGUGCGAAAGCGUGGGUAGCGAACAGGAUUAGAUACCCUGGUAGUCCACGCCGUAAACGAUGAGAACUAGAUGUCGGGAGGAUUACCUCUCGGUGUCGCAGCUAACGCGUUAAGUUCUCCGCCUGGGGAGUACGCCGGCAACGGUAAAACUCAAAGGAAUUGACGG